This 500-nucleotide ribosomal RNA is filed under the name uncultured bacterium. Its description in RNAcentral is "partial 16S ribosomal RNA". It matches the Rfam family "Bacterial small subunit ribosomal RNA", at positions 28 to 507 of the family's 1533-position model. The record is from RNAcentral.
GACGAACGCUGGCGGCGUGCCUAAUACAUGCAAGUCGAGCGGACUGAUUAAGAGCUUGCUCUUAUGACGUUAGCGGCGGACGGGUGAGUAACACGUGGGCAACCUGCCCUGUAGAUCGGGAUAACACCGAGAAAUCGGUGCUAAUACCGGGUAAUAUCUGAGAUCACAUGAUCUUAGGUUAAAAGAUGGCUCCGGCUAUCACUACAGGAUGGGCCCGCGGCGCAUUAGCUAGUUGGUAAGGUAAUGGCUUACCAAGGCGACGAUGCGUAGCCGACCUGAGAGGGUGAUCGGCCACACUGGGACUGAGACACGGCCCAGACUCCUACGGGAGGCAGCAGUAGGGAAUCUUCCGCAAUGAACGAAAGUCUGACGGAGCAACGCCGCGUGAGUGAUGAAGGGUUUCGGCUCGUAAAGCUCUGUUGUUAGGGAAGAAACAGUACCGAACGAACUAGGUCGGUACCUUGACGGUACCUAACCAGAAAGCCACGGCUAACUACGUG